RNAcentral lists this transfer RNA (22 nucleotides) under Drosophila mediostriata. Its description in RNAcentral is "tRNA-Asn". Lineage: Eukaryota; Metazoa; Arthropoda; Insecta; Diptera; Drosophilidae. The record is from RNAcentral.
UAAUUGAAGCCAAAAAGAGGCA